AAGGAUCAUUAACGAAUAACUAUGGUGUCUUGGUUGUAGCUGGCUCCUCGGAGCAUUGUGCACGCCCGCCAUUUUUAUCUAUCCACCUGUGCACCGACUGUAGGUCUGGAUGACUCUCGUGCUCUCUGAGUGCGGAUGCGAGGAUUGCCCUUCAACUCGGAGGUGUCUCUCCUCGAAUUUCCAGGCUCUACGUCUUUUUACACACCCCAAAAGCAUGAUAUAGAAUGUAGUCAAUGGGCUUGAUCGCCUAUAAAACACUAUACAACUUUCAGCAACGGAUCUCUUGGCUCUC
RNAcentral lists this unclassified non-coding RNA (292 nucleotides) under uncultured fungus. RNAcentral's name for it is "partial contains 18S rRNA, ITS1, 5.8S rRNA, ITS2 and 28S rRNA". The record is from RNAcentral. Lineage: Eukaryota; Fungi.